RNAcentral lists this ribosomal RNA (431 nucleotides) under uncultured bacterium. RNAcentral describes it as "partial 16S ribosomal RNA". It matches the Rfam family "Bacterial small subunit ribosomal RNA", at positions 29 to 507 of the family's 1533-position model. The record is from RNAcentral.
AGCGAACGCUGGCGGCAGGCUUAACACAUGCAAGUCGAGCGCCCCGCAAGGGGAGCGGCCGCCGGGAGAGUAACACGUGGGAACAUACCUUUUGGUUCGGAACAACUGAGGGAAACUUCAGCUAAUACCGGAUAAGCCCUUACGGGGAAAGAUUUAUCGCCGAAAGAUUGGCCCGCGUCUGAUUAGCUAGUUGGUGAGGUAACGGCUCACCAAGGCGACGAUCAGUAGCUGGUCUGAGAGGAUGAUCAGCCUCACUGGGACUGAGACACGGCCCAGACUCCUACGGGAGGCAGCAGUGGGGAAUAUUGGACAAUGGGGGCAACCCUGAUCCAGCCAUGCCGCGUGAGUGAUGAAGGCCUUAGGGUUGUAAAGCUCUUUUGCCCGGGAAGAUAAUGACGGUACCGGGAGAAUAAGCCCCGGCUAACUUCGUG